GUGCUCGCUUAGGCUGCACGUAUACUAAAAUUGGAACGGUACAGAGAAGAUUAGCAUGGCUUCUGUGCAAGGAUGACACGCAAAUUCGUGAAGCGUUCCAUAUUUUA
Myotis myotis is the source of this 107-nucleotide small nuclear RNA. NCBI's taxonomy places the organism in Eukaryota, Metazoa, Chordata, Mammalia, Chiroptera, Vespertilionidae. The record is from RefSeq and is a predicted model, not a curated record.